RNAcentral lists this transfer RNA (70 nucleotides) under Danionella mirifica. RNAcentral's name for it is "tRNA-His". It matches the Rfam family "tRNA". From Rfam's summary of the family: Transfer RNA (tRNA) molecules are approximately 80 nucleotides in length. The record is from RNAcentral. Lineage: Eukaryota; Metazoa; Chordata; Actinopteri; Cypriniformes; Danionidae.
GUAAGUUUAAUUUAAAAUUAAAAUAAUAGAUUGUGAUUCUAUAAAUAGGAGUUAACCCUUCUAACUCACC